CGGGGAGGGCGGGGCGUCGGUUGGACAACCGGAGUGACUGGCGGGAGGGGCUGCGGCUCCUCCCCGUGCGGCGCGGCGCGCGGCCUCCGUGUGCCUAGGCUUGAGGCGGGCGGUGACGCCUCAUUCGCGCGGAGCCGGGCCGGGACACGGUCGGCGGCAGCAUGAACAGCAUCAAGAAUGUGCCGGCGCGGGUGCUGAGCCGCAGGCCGGGCCACAGCCUAGAGGCCGAGCGCGAGCAGUUCGACAAGACGCAGGCCAUCAGUAUCAGCAAAGCCAUCAACAGCCAGGAGGCCCCAGUGAAGGAGAAGCAUGCCCGGCGUAUCAUCCUGGGCACGCAUCAUGAGAAGGGAGCCUUUACCUUCUGGUCCUAUGCCAUCGGCCUGCCGCUGUCCAGCAGCUCCAUCCUCAGCUGGAAGUUCUGUCACGUCCUUCACAAGGUCCUCCGGGACGGACACCCCAACGUCCUGCAUGACUAUCAGCGGUACCGGAGCAACAUACGUGAGAUCGGUGACUUGUGGGGCCACCUUCGUGACCAGUAUGGACACCUGGUGAAUAUCUAUACCAAACUGUUGCUGACUAAGAUCUCCUUCCACCUUAAGCAUCCCCAGUUUCCUGCAGGCCUGGAGGUAACAGAUGAGGUGUUGGAGAAGGCGGCGGGAACUGAUGUCAACAACAUUUUUCAGCUUACCGUGGAGAUGUUUGACUACAUGGACUGUGAACUGAAGCUUUCUGAGUCAGUUUUCCGGCAGCUCAACACGGCCAUCGCAGUGUCCCAGAUGUCUUCUGGCCAGUGUCGCCUAGCGCCGCUCAUCCAGGUCAUUCAGGACUGCAGCCACCUGUACCACUACACAGUGAAGCUCAUGUUUAAGCUGCACUCCUGUCUCCCGGCAGACACCCUGCAAGGCCACAGGGAUCGGUUCCACGAGCAGUUUCACAGCCUCAAAAACUUCUUCCGCCGAGCUUCAGACAUGCUGUACUUCAAGAGGCUCAUCCAGAUCCCGCGGCUGCCUGAGGGACCCCCCAAUUUCCUGCGGGCUUCAGCCCUGGCUGAGCACAUCAAGCCGGUGGUGGUGAUUCCCGAGGAGGCCCCAGAGGAAGAGGAGCCUGAGAACCUAAUUGAAAUCAGCAGUGCACCCCCUGCUGGGGAGCCAGUGGUGGUGGCUGACCUCUUUGAUCAGACCUUUGGACCCCCCAAUGGCUCCAUGAAGGAUGACAGGGACCUCCAAAUCGAGAACUUGAAGAGAGAGGUGGAGACCCUCCGUGCUGAGCUGGAGAAGAUUAAGAUGGAGGCACAGCGGUACAUCUCCCAGCUGAAGGGCCAGGUGAAUGGCCUGGAGGCAGAGCUGGAGGAGCAGCGCAAGCAGAAGCAGAAGGCCCUGGUGGACAACGAGCAGCUGCGCCACGAGCUGGCCCAGCUCAAGGCCCUGCAGCUGGAGGGCGCCCGCAACCAGGGCCUUCGAGAGGAAGCAGAGAGGAAGGCCAGUGCCACGGAGGCACGCUACAGCAAGCUGAAGGAGAAACACAGCGAACUCAUUAACACCCACGCCGAGCUGCUCAGGAAGAACGCAGACACGGCCAAGCAGCUGACAGUGACACAGCAGAGCCAGGAGGAGGUGGCACGGGUAAAGGAACAGCUGGCCUUCCAGAUGGAGCAAGCGAAGCGUGAGUCUGAGAUGAAGAUGGAAGAGCAGAGCGACCAGUUGGAGAAGCUCAAGAGGGAGCUGGCGGCCAGGGCAGGAGAGCUGGCCCGUGCGCAGGAGGCCCUGAGCCGCACAGAACAGAGUGGGUCAGAGCUGAGCUCACGGCUGGACACACUGAAUGCGGAGAAGGAAGCUCUGAGUGGAGUCGUUCGGCAGCGUGAGGCAGAGCUGCUGGCCGCUCAGAGCCUGGUGCGGGAGAAGGAGGAGGCACUUAGCCAAGAGCAGCAGCGGAGCUCCCAGGAGAAGGGCGAGCUACGGGGGCAGCUGGCAGAAAAGGAGUCUCAGGAGCAGGGGCUUCGGCAGAAGCUGCUGGAUGAGCAGUUGGCGGUGUUGCGAAGUGCAGCCGCCGAGGCAGAGGCCAUCCUACAGGAUGCAGUGAGCAAGCUGGACGACCCCCUGCACCUCCGCUGCACCAGCUCCCCAGACUACUUGGUGAGCCGGGCUCAGGCAGCCCUGGACAGCGUGAGCGGCCUGGAGCAGGGCCACACCCAGUACCUGGCUUCCUCUGAAGAUGCUUCUGCCCUGGUGGCAGCGCUGACCCGCUUCUCCCAUUUGGCUGCGGACACCAUUGUCAAUGGUGCCGCCACCUCCCACCUGGCCCCCACCGACCCCGCCGACCGCCUGAUGGACACAUGCAGGGAGUGUGGAGCCCGGGCUCUGGAGCUGGUGGGACAGCUGCAAGACCAGACAGUGCUACCGAGGGCUCAGCCCAGCCUGAUGCGGGCCCCCCUGCAGGGCAUUCUGCAGUUGGGCCAGGACUUGAAGCCUAAGAGCCUGGAUGUACGGCAAGAGGAGCUAGGGGCCAUGGUGGACAAGGAGAUGGCGGCCACCUCGGCAGCCAUUGAGGACGCUGUGCGGAGGAUCGAGGACAUGAUGAGCCAGGCCCGCCACGAGAGCUCGGGCGUGAAACUGGAGGUGAAUGAGAGGAUCCUCAACUCCUGCACAGACCUGAUGAAGGCUAUCCGGCUCCUGGUGAUGACCUCCACCAGCCUGCAGAAGGAAAUUGUGGAGAGCGGCAGGGGGGCAGCAACGCAGCAGGAAUUUUAUGCCAAGAAUUCACGGUGGACUGAAGGCCUCAUCUCAGCCUCUAAGGCAGUGGGCUGGGGAGCCACACAGCUGGUGUAUGUCCACCCAGGGAGUCAGCUGACAAGGUUGUGCUUCACAUGGGCAAAUACGAGGAACUCAUCGUCUGCUCCCAUGAGAUUGCGGCCAGCACGGCCCAGCUGGUGGCAGCCUCGAAGGUGAAAGCCAACAAGAACAGUCCCCACUUGAGCCGCCUGCAGGAAUGUUCCCGCACUGUCAACGAGAGGGCUGCCAACGUCGUGGCCUCCACCAAAUCUGGCCAGGAGCAGAUUGAGGACAGAGACACCAUGGAUUUCUCUGGCCUGUCCCUCAUCAAGUUGAAGAAGCAGGAGAUGGAGACACAGGUGCGAGUCUUGGAGCUGGAGAAGACACUAGAGGCAGAGCGUGUCCGGCUCGGGGAGCUUCGGAAACAGCACUAUGUACUGGCUGGGGGGAUGGGAACACCUAGCGAAGAAGAACCCAGCAGACCCAGCCCAGCUCCCCGAAGUGGGGCCACUAAGAAGCCACCGCUGGCCCAGAAACCCAGCAUAGCCCCCAGGACAGACAACCAGCUCGACAAAAAGGAUGGUGUCUACCCAGCUCAACUUGUGAACUACUAGGCCCCUAAGGUGUUCAGCAGGAUGGUUGGUGGUUGUGCCUGGGCUUCACGUGGCUGUCUGGCAGUGGUCAAGGGGCCUCUGAGAAGCCUCCAACUCCUGUCCAAGGGGCCUAGUCUGUGGGACAGUUCAUCUGGAUGUGAAUCUAUUUAUCUUAAGUAGGAACUGCCUCGAGCAGCUGGGACCCAGCAGGCCUGAGCCACAAAUCUGCAGCGGACAUCAGAGAUAGUCUGAAUGCUGCGAGGUAUUUCUUUCUUCGUAAGUUUAGUCAGCACACUGGGAAAAGGUCACAUAAGCCAGGAGCCUCCUUGUCUCUGGACUUAAAAGUCUGAGGCCUUAAGUGAACAACAGAAAGAGGGUCCCUGCUGGCUACCAGGGAUAAGGGGAUGACCUGUGACCCUUGAGCCAGGGAGAGCAGGUAAGCUGGGUAGUGUCAUCACCUGGGGGCCUGGUGCUAGGGCAUCCAUGCUGGGAGCCCCAGGAGACCAGGCUUUGUGUGGGAGCCUGGCAUCAUCGUGGCUGGGGCAGCCCCUGCUCAGGUGCUGCCUCUGCCCGUGACCUCGAAGCCACCCUCCCCCGUACAGUUUUCCAUUCUCCUGGCUACUAGUGUGGCUGUUCAUUGCCUACCUUGAUGAGUAGAUUUCAGCCCUCCUAAAGCUGGGGCCUUUCAGCCAGACAAAAGCUAUUAAAAAAAAAAGAGCAGAUGCCAUAGCCCACAUUUCUGGAGGCUCAAGAGUUCUUGCUGGAGCAGCCCAGACAUGGAGGGCUGGCCUUGCCUGCCCCUGACAGUUUGAAUAAAUUUGUGUGUCUUGAGCCUGAGGAGGAGUGGCUGGGGGUAGAAGAUAUCCAGGCCACCAAUAAAGCCAGCAGCUGGUCUGGGACAAGUGCCCAGCCUCCCUCCAGCUGCAUGCCCUGCACCCUGGGAAGGCUACCAACCAUGGACCAAGGUCCGGGGCUUUGGGAGGGAGCCGGCUCCUUUGCUCUGUCUAGUGUUCCCUGUGUUGAGUUCCAUUGGCAAUAAAACCCUGACUGUUGUUA
This is an RNA transcript of Mus musculus (house mouse), 4417 nucleotides long. It is a transcript of the gene named huntingtin interacting protein 1 related, with no coding region annotated. NCBI's taxonomy places the organism in Eukaryota, Metazoa, Chordata, Mammalia, Rodentia, Muridae. The record is from RefSeq and is marked validated. The transcript is spliced from 32 exons.